This 253-nucleotide ribosomal RNA is filed under the name uncultured prokaryote. RNAcentral describes it as "partial 16S ribosomal RNA". It matches the Rfam family "Bacterial small subunit ribosomal RNA", at positions 525 to 777 of the family's 1533-position model. The record is from RNAcentral.
ACAGAGGGUGCAAACGUUGUUCGGAAUUACUGGGCUUAAAGGGUUUGUAGGCGGCCACGUAAGUCAGGUGUGAAAUCCCUCGGCUCAACCGAGGAAUGGCGCUUGAUACUGCGUGGCUUGAGGGAGACAGGGGUAAGCGGAACUGAUGGUGGAGCGGUGAAAUGCGUUGAUAUCAUCAGGAACACCGGUGGCGAAAGCGGCUUACUGGGUCUCUUCUGACGCUGAGGAACGAAAGCUAGGGUAGCGAACGGGA